CAGGGGUCCUGGGACCUGGAACCUCCCCUUUCUUCUCCCCUUGCUGAGCCACUGAAGGUUCCAGAACCACCCUGGGUUGACCCCUGACUCCCUGGUGUCUCCUGGCCCCUGGCGGCCAGGGGCUCCGCAGACUGCAGUAGAGCACUGAGACCGGAGGUCAGUGCCCUCUGGGGCCAAGGUUGAGAGGGCUAGAUGCUUUCCACACCUCACUCUCAUGGCACCACAUGAGAGCCACCAUGAGGCCUGGAGGCUGGUUCAGGGCCAUGGGUUCCCCGAAGGGCCGGCCACUUCACUGUCUCUUGCUCUGUUCCCAAAAGAAAGAGAUUAGCCAAGAACGACCAAGUCUGUGACCAACCUGGAGGACAAGUCGUUUGCGGGAAGAACUUAACGUCUAUGGAUUGUCUGUUCAUGACCAGACAGUCCAGGCCU
Molecule: non-coding RNA, 429 nt
Organism: Odocoileus virginianus texanus
Lineage: Eukaryota; Metazoa; Chordata; Mammalia; Artiodactyla; Cervidae
Source: RefSeq, a predicted model, not a curated record